Long non-coding RNA from Oncorhynchus tshawytscha (Chinook salmon), 1323 nucleotides. The record is from Ensembl. Lineage: Eukaryota; Metazoa; Chordata; Actinopteri; Salmoniformes; Salmonidae.
AGGGGAGAGGGUGUUUUUUACGUGUUUGGAAUGCAUCCUUUGAAUUCGGACUGCAGCCAGAUGCAUACAUUUAGUCAUGUGAUUUCCAAGAAGAGUGUCGGGGUGGGGUGGUCACAUGUAUUACAAGAAAGAGAGAUUUGGUCAAAGACAGUACACUAUGAAGAUGAGCUAAAAAUGAUUCUCCAAUUCAAAUCCCCGAUUACACUUGUUGACGAUGUCAUGGCGACGUUGGCAAGCAAAACUCAUGCGUAGAAGCAAGUCAUCGGGUCUAAUGGUCAUCUUGCGCCGAACUGCGCAUGUGCUGGCAGUGUUCUGUUUAGUCUAUUUCACAACCGUUCCUGGAAAUCUUGCGAUGCUGCGCCUCUGGGUUUAGAAACUCUGUGAUUUAGUCUAUAAAACAGGUUGUCAGACACCAGUCUACAUCUGGGUAGAGAAACAUCCCAUACAUUCUGAAAUAUGUGCUGUACUUGGCGUCUACUCUGAACAUCUACUUGUGAUUUCUGUCUGGUUGACAGCCAUCGGCAAACUUCGAUGACUUAAGGUAGACCAGAAAAGCCACAUCCCGAAUUGGCAGAUGAGCAGCAACCCUGAUUAGAAGCACCUGCUGCUCAAUGCUGUUUUGAAUUCAAAUAAAAUUGUACCUAAACACUGAAGGCUGUAAAGAAACACAGAGGAUGGUGGCAGUUAUAUUGUCUUAAGAAAGUCGGAGACCUACAAGAUCAACAAGAGAAUGGGUGGAGAUUGGUCAAAAGAUCGAGCGGAUCAGGCAGAGAGAGACCGCGAUCAAGCCAAAACUGAUAAACAGAAAGCGGAGGAGGACAAACAGAACAUGGAGAAGGAAAAGAAAAAGACAGAAGAGGAUUACAGGCAGCUCUUUGCUGAGAAAGUGAGAAUGGAAACAGAACAAAAGAUGGAAGAAAAACAAAGACAGGAGCUUGAGAAGGAAACUCUAAAAGUAAUAGAACACAAUAGACAGCGAGAGAAAAAUGAAAAGACAAGAAUUCAGCUGGAAAAUGCAAAAGGAGAUCAAAAAACUGUAUGAAAUGUAUCCACAUAUUAAGAGACAAAUGCAUAAACGGUUAAAUGAUCCACAUAAUGAAUUAUUGGACAAGGCACACAAUCAUUGUAAACCUUUAAUAUCCACAAUUGCGCUGCCUGUUUUAUUUUCCCCAAAUGAUGUUGUUAAAGGGAUAGUUCACACAAAUGACAGUGGUUUAAUAACCCUGUUAGCCGUUUUUGUUUACCUGGCUGCUGCCACCAAAUGCUUUUCAAACCAAUGCCUGUCAAUAUCUGAGAAUCCUCUGUAGCUUUGCAAUAAAAAGA